Molecule: transfer RNA, 75 nt
Filed under: Candidatus Wolfebacteria bacterium RIFOXYB1_FULL_54_12
Lineage: Bacteria; Candidatus Wolfeibacteriota
Description: tRNA-Phe
Rfam family: tRNA
About the family: Transfer RNA (tRNA) molecules are approximately 80 nucleotides in length. Their secondary structure includes four short double-helical elements and three loops (D, anti-codon, and T loops).
Source: RNAcentral
GCCGCGGUAGCUCAGCGGUAGAGCGUUGCCCUGAAGAGGCAAGCGUCGGGGGUUCAACUCCCUCCCGCGGCACCG